GCACACGUACGUGUGUGACAGCCUGGCCUUGACUGUGAGCAUCACUGGGCUUUUGAAACCUUGGUUCAAUAGCGUGUUCAAAACCAAACCAAACCAAAGGCCUUCAGGCAGUGAGAAUACCUCCCUGAGAUUGGAAAACCUUCUGGAAAGCCGCUGAACUGAAAGGUGUUUCGGAAGAACGAUAGGUGGCCAGGACGCUGUCCACAGAGAAGGCUGAAUGGGCUUCUUCUCAAAGGCCCUUUGUUCGGCUGGAUGGAGUUUGCAGGUGCAACCUUAAGGAGGAGAGUGAGACACUAGAUGUUUCUGGCACCUCGCAUUGACAGAAGCCAAUUGACAAAGGGAUCUAGGCCAUGCGGUCUGCAGAGAUAAAGCCCCGAGGGCACAGAGCAGCCCCCCCAAAAAGGGAAGAGAAAGUAUAAAGCGACGGUGGAUUGAAAAGUGGAGGAGCAACCUGCCAUUCUUAGAGUGGCUUGGGUGGCGCGAGUUCGAUCCUUGACCCACACAUGCCGUGGGUGAGGCCACAGGACAAAAAAAACAGUCCUUGAAUCCUCAGCAAUUUCUGAGAGGUAAUUUGGAAAGCCACAGUGAGGUUCUGGAGGAAGAGUCUUAGAGACGAUGAGAUUUUUCAAGGAGAGGCCACCUGGAGGAGGAACCUUCAUCCCCGUCACUGUGGCCGUUCUUAAUGGUAGAAAGCCGCCCAGCUGCCACUUGCCUGCUGCCGGAGUGCUCCUCUUCUCCCUCGUCCAGCUAAUGCUGAGGCCGAGACAGUGAGCCGCAGGGGCUUCAUCCAUCCACCAAGGUCAGAAGUCUAGGAGCAGCCUGGCUGGGUGUUUCUGGCUCAGGAUUUCUUGUGAAAUUAUCAUCAAGACUUUGGCUGAGAUGCAGUCAUUUGAAGGUUUGCCUGGGGCUAGAGGAUCCCCUUUGAAGAUGGUGUAUCCACAUGCUUGACAGAUGUGCUCCAUGCAAAUGGGAAGGAAUCAGAAUCCCAUGCAGAAGAAAAGCAAAGUCCAUCAGGGAGCCUCCAGUAAAUGAUGCCCCAAUGAGUAAGUCAUUCCAAUUGGGCCUCUUGGAUUUACCAGGUUUAAUUCUUCUGCCUCUCUGGAAUCCCCAGUGGGUAAUUGCUGGUGACAGGUUUAUACCUCAAGACGGGCGUUUGGUCACUCAGCUCCAGUUCCUGCAAACAACUUUACAGUCUGUCAAGCCCAAACCACUUUUAGCUGUGGCGAUGGGUGUCAGAUAACGUUCGCCCUUGUGAUUCAAGGCUGACGCCUACUCCGGCGUGAAGUAAAGGGAAUCAUUACCAAGGAAGGGAAUGGGAAUCUCAAGGAAGAAGAGGUUACUGCUGAGCGAGGAGCAGGGCCUGGCAGACAUGGACCCACGUGAGGUCUGGCACACUGGGCCCUGCCAGCCCCGGGGUCAGUGAGUCAGCACAUGUGCCUGGGCGCCUACCUCAUGUCCCGUUCUCCGGUGGAGGGUGGGGGACUUUGCGUGCGAUGUCUGGAACCCUAAUUUUCUCUCUCCCGUAUGAAGACUCCAUCACCCCCAAGACUCCCGAGGUCAAUGGCUGGGCUCAUCCUCAUAUUUAAUUUAAUUUAUUUUUUGUCUUUUUUUUUUCAGGGCUACCCCACAGCAUAUGGAAGUUCCCGGGAAGCUAUGGGUUGAAACGGGGCUACAUCUGCCGGCCUACACCACAGCCACAGCCACAUGAGAUCCGAGCCUAGUCUGCGAUCUACACCCCAGCUCAUGGUAACACCAGAUCCUUAACCCACGGAGCAAGGCCAGGGAUGGAACCCACAUCCUCAUAGAUACUAGUCAGGAUCAUUACCUCUGAGCCACGACAGGAACUCCUCAUGCCCCUAUUUUAAAUGUUAACUAAUCUCCUUUUUUAUACCAAAGCCUAUGGUCUAACUCAAGUGUCCGUUAGAGGGAUGUUUAGCUUCCAUGCCUUAAUUCUUUCCCCCAGUUGGUGAUAUUCAGUUAAUCUACCCAGUUUAAACCUGGCAAAGGGCUGACUUUUCACAGCAUCAAUGGAGGGGUCUCCACCCCAGCCCCGCCCCCCAAAGUGCCCAUUACUCUUCCACUACUGCCCUCCACCCACCUUCCUGGAUGGCAUGCCACGCUGACUGUCCACUCUCCCGUUAACUCAGCUCAAGGGCCCUCGGGGCCACACCUUCAUUCAUUCUUCCCUGGCCUGAGCCUGGCCCCCCUUCGCAAGGACAGAAGAAGCACAGAGAUGAGGGAAACGUGUUCAUUCAGAUCAUAGGCUUAUCACUGCAUCACCAUCGUCUCCUUAUUUUUCUUCUUCCCUCCUCCUCCUUUUUACUGAAGUAGAGUUGAUCUACUGUGUUGUGUUAGGCGUUCCCAUUGUGGCUCAGUGGUUAACGAACUGAACUAGUUAGUAUCCGUGAGGACGCGGGUUCGAUCCCUGGCCUCGCUCAGUGGGUUAAGGAUCCAGCAUUGCUGUGAACUGUGGUUUAAGUUGCAGAUACAGCUUGGAUCCGUUGUUGCUGUGGCGGAGGUGUAUAGGCAGCUGUAGCUCUGGUUCGAUCCCUGGCCUCGCUCAGUGGGUUAAGGAUCCAGCAUUGCUGUGAACUAUGGUUUAAGUUGCAGAUACAGCUCAGAUCCCUUGUUGCUGUGGCGGAGGUGUAUAGGAAGCUGUAGCUCUGAUUUGACCCCUGGCCUGGGAACCUCCACAUGCCUCAGGUGCAGGUCUGCAAAAAAAAAA
This 2725-nucleotide long non-coding RNA is filed under the name Sus scrofa (pig). RNAcentral describes it as "lncRNA (ENSSSCG00025054847.1)". Lineage: Eukaryota; Metazoa; Chordata; Mammalia; Artiodactyla; Suidae. The record is from RNAcentral.